GACGAACGCUGGCGGCGUGCUUAACACAUGCAAGUCGAACGGAAAGGCCCUGCUUGCAGGGUACUCGAGUGGCGAACGGGCGAGUAACACGUGGGUGCUCUGCCCUGCACUUUGGGAUAAGCCUGGGAAACUGGGUCUAAUACCGGAUAGGAGCCAUUUCUAGUGGGAUGGUUGGAAAGUUUUUUCGGUGUAGGAUGAGCUCGCGGCCUAUCAGCUUGUUGGUGGGGUAAUGGCCUACCAAGGCGGCGACGGGUAGCCGGCCGGAGGGGGUGGACGGCCACAUUGGGACCUAGGUACGGCCCAGGCGCCUACGGGAGGCAGAAGUGGGGAAGAUUGCACAAGGGGCGCAAGCCGGGUGCAGCGACGCCGCGUGGGGGAUGACGGCCUUCGGGUUGAAAACUCCUUUCGCUAGGGACGAAGCUUUUUGUGACGGUACCUAGAUAAGAAGCACCGGCUAACUACGUG
RNAcentral lists this ribosomal RNA (465 nucleotides) under uncultured bacterium. RNAcentral's name for it is "partial 16S ribosomal RNA". It matches the Rfam family "Bacterial small subunit ribosomal RNA", at positions 28 to 507 of the family's 1533-position model. The record is from RNAcentral.